Molecule: transfer RNA, 129 nt
Filed under: Candidatus Woesearchaeota archaeon
Lineage: Archaea; Nanobdellati; Candidatus Woesearchaeota
Description: tRNA-Asp
Source: RNAcentral
GCCCUGGUAGUGUAGUCCGGUCUAGCACGCAACCCUGUCACGGUUGCGACCCGGGUUCAAAAUCCGUUUGUCGUUGGUCGGUGCAACUGACUACCGGCGACAUACCGAAUGGAAGUCCCGGCCAGGGCG